CCUUGUACACACCGCCCGUCACGCCAUGGAAGCUGGGGGGACCUGAAGCCGGUGGGCUAACCGCAAGGAGGCAGCCGUCAAAGGUCAAUUCAGUGACCGGGGCG
This 104-nucleotide ribosomal RNA is filed under the name uncultured bacterium. RNAcentral's name for it is "partial 16S ribosomal RNA". It matches the Rfam family "Bacterial small subunit ribosomal RNA", at positions 1379 to 1482 of the family's 1533-position model. The record is from RNAcentral.